AUCCUCAUUGCCAACUUCACCAGGCUGCAACCCACUCAAAUCCAGCUUUGGAUGAAUAUGACGGAGGGCCGCUUUACAGUCUUUAAAGCCGACUCGGUGAGCAAUGGCCGACCCCUCAGCAACUUCAUCUUCAAACUCUUAAGAUGCUCAAAAUUCGGCCAAUGCCCGAGAACCUACCUCCUGAACCCAAGUUUCUACCGCCAAUGUUUGC
This 211-nucleotide long non-coding RNA is filed under the name Elaeis guineensis (African oil palm). RNAcentral describes it as "long non-coding RNA (EGUI_LNC032435)". Lineage: Eukaryota; Viridiplantae; Streptophyta; Magnoliopsida; Arecales; Arecaceae. The record is from RNAcentral.